Long non-coding RNA from Aegilops tauschii subsp. strangulata, 1282 nucleotides. RefSeq lists it as uncharacterized. NCBI's taxonomy places the organism in Eukaryota, Viridiplantae, Streptophyta, Magnoliopsida, Poales, Poaceae. The record is from RefSeq and is a predicted model, not a curated record.
UCCGCUCGCUCUCUCGCUUCUGCCUUCCUUGCAGUGCACGGGGCCACCCGCACUCCUCCUCCUCUUCUUCUUCCUCGGUCCCUGCCGCGCGUGCGCCUCUCGCUCGCUCGCUCUCUCCCCAAGCUCGUUUCAUUCGCCCAUGUCCUCGCCCUCGCCGCCGGUCAUCCCCGGGAGCAGGAGCAGCCGAGCGUCGCCGCCGAUCACCGCUUCACCAGGUCAGUCAGUUCAUCUGCUAGCUUGUUGCUGUUGUUUCCGUGCCAUGUCGUGUCCUGUCUGUCUGUUGCAACAGGUCAGGUCAGGUCCGGCGCCGUUGUGAGGGACGGGACGAUUAAUUUGGGUCCUCGGCCAAUCGCUCUUCCGCAUCUUGCCAUCAUUCAGUUAGUUCAGACUCGAGCUACAUCUUGGCAGAGCGGCUGGAAAUGACAAUUUGUUCAGACUGGAGGAGCAGCGGCUUUCUUUCCUGUGCAUCACAAGUUCAGAACACACGCCCUGGCUUCCUUCCUUCAGCUUUCGACGUGCGCCACAUCAGUCAGAGACGGACAAAACAAGCAGCAUCCAUCAAUCCAUGUGCACUUUGGCUGGCCUCCAUUUACACUCUCGCGGCGGCGGAGCACUGAGCAGUGACCUAAGGGCGCAUUUGAGAGAGAUGAAGCAAGCAGCAGGAUGCAAAGACAAGUCUGUCGUCUCGGCGCAACAGUCCAGCUCGUACGGCUUUCGCUUGCUGAGGUCUUGUAUUUAAAAACGGAUUGAGUAUAUGCCAGUGUUAUACGGGAGUACUAUAUCAGCAACUAACAUUGUACAGGUAAGAAAAAUAUUCAUCUACCCCAGAAGGGUGCAGCAAAGUGAAGAUCGAGUCGAUUUAUUCAAAGGGAUGAUCACAGCACAACAAUGGAGUACACAAGAACGGCGACAGCAACAACGCAACGCAACAUGCGGCCGUGUACAUAUUGGUAACAGCUUAAUUACACUCAUCACACAAGGUACAUCCGAUCCAUUUGCUCUCUCCGAGCUAAUACAAUGUAUGGCAACACAUCUCAAUCACCACGCCCCGUGACGCUUCUGCCCAGGUGCGCAACGCAGGUACAGCUCCUCUGUUCUUCAGUCUCGAAACGUUGUUUCCGCCGAGAGCAGAGGGCUUUCUCAAGGGAGGAGGAAAAAUAGGUUCGAUUCUUGCGGAGAUGCUACUCUAAAUCCGUCUCAUCUCCGCGGAUGGUAUACGGAGGAGACAUGAAAUAUGAUCUCCUCGCCGGCUUCGGGGGUAUAAUUUACAUGUCUUUUGUUU